RNAcentral lists this ribosomal RNA (253 nucleotides) under uncultured bacterium. RNAcentral describes it as "partial 16S ribosomal RNA". It matches the Rfam family "Bacterial small subunit ribosomal RNA", at positions 524 to 776 of the family's 1533-position model. The record is from RNAcentral.
UACGGAGGGUGCAAGCAUUAAUCGGAAUUACUGGGCGUAAAGGGCGCGUAGGCGGUUUAACAAGUCAUUUGUGAAAUUCCAGGGCUUAACCCUGGAGCUGCAUAUGAAACUGUUAGACUAGAGGUAAAACGGAGAAAACGGAAUUUCCCAUGUAGCGGUGAAAUGCGUGGAUAUGGGAAGGAACACCGGUGGCGAAAGCGGUUUUCUAGUUUUAAACUGACGCUGAAGCGCGAAAGCAAGGGGAGCAAACAGG